AACGAACGCUGGCGGCAUGCCUAACACAUGCAAGUCGAACGAGACCUUCGGGUCUAGUGGCGCACGGGUGCGUAACGCGUGGGAACCUGCCCUUAGGUUCGGAAUAACUCCCCGAAAGGGGUGCUAAUACCGGAUAAUGUCUUCGGACCAAAGAUUUAUCGCCUUUGGAUGGGCCCGCGUUGGAUUAGCUAGUUGGUAGGGUAAAAGCCUACCAAGGCGACGAUCCAUAGCUGGUCUGAGAGGAUGAUCAGCCACACUGGGGCUGGGACACGGCCCAGACUACUACGGGAGGGAGCAGUGGGGGAUAUUGGAAAAUGGGCGAAAGCCUGAUCCAGCAAUGCCGCGUGAGUGAUGAAGGCCUUAGGGUUGUAAAGCUCUUUUACCCGGGAUGAUAAUGACAGUACCGGGAGAAUAAGCUCCGGCUAACUCCGCG
RNAcentral lists this ribosomal RNA (433 nucleotides) under uncultured bacterium. RNAcentral describes it as "partial 16S ribosomal RNA". It matches the Rfam family "Bacterial small subunit ribosomal RNA", at positions 29 to 507 of the family's 1533-position model. The record is from RNAcentral.